GGUUCCAUAGUGUAGUGGUUAGCACGUCUGCUUUACACACAGAAGGUCCAGGGUUUGCACCCCAGUAGAGCCA
Pteropus alecto (black flying fox) is the source of this 73-nucleotide non-coding RNA. NCBI's taxonomy places the organism in Eukaryota, Metazoa, Chordata, Mammalia, Chiroptera, Pteropodidae. The record is from Rfam.